GAAGAUAGGCACAUGAGAAACCUAGCUGUAAUUUGUCUGAUGAUGUUUGAUGUGCAGCAACAUAGUCUCAACAAGUAGUUACUAGAAAUAGAUGUUGAAAAAACAAACAGUGAAAUGGAAAAGACAGCAACAGAAAGCACAGUAAGAAAGUUGAGAAGUUUCUGGAGUCAAGAGAACACAAGUCAUUUUCAUUACCACCGUGUAAAGGAUUCCAGAGAAAACUAACUUAUCAGUCCUUACAAAUGAAAAUAUUCCAAUCCUGUCAGUCGGAUGCUUCCUGUCAGUGACCACUUCCGCUCAUGAUGAGUACAGAGAUACAGAACAGCUGUUCAAGACUAAUACACAAACACCAGAACCUAGACCAGGAUUUCCUCAGAGUGUUGGAGGAGACAGAAUGGCAGCAUUUUCUGCGACAAUGUCUGGAACAGAUUGCAAGAGUGGCUGAGAUACUUACUGCAGAAACCUUUCAGAUACUGACUGAUACAUAUGGUUGUAUAUGGCAGUAGAGUGAAGCUGUUUGAAGUGACGUCUGCAGAGCAGAGUGUUCUACAAACUGAUCUGAUUGAAGUGCUUACUUUGUGAGAGCAUGCAGGCAGCUAAAGACAGAAGGUCAACAAAAUCAGGGUUUUUUUUUUUUAAAAGCAAGAAGGAAACGACAGAAAAUGUGAAAAUAGAAGAUCAAGGGAACAAAAGAACCUGAAUAGAAUAAACUUUUAAAGAUUUUAUGCUAAAACUAAAUUUAUAAGAACAUUAGUGAUGGAUUAACCUCCCAUAUCUUUUAGCCUGCUGGUGGCAAAUGAUUUUGCCUUUGCGACCAAGAUCAGCCUGAACGUUCUUCCCAAACCAAGAAGCUUCAAUAUUUUAUCUGCUGUUAUAGAUUAAGGGCGAGUUAGAAUAGAAAUAACUUACAGCAAAAGCAUGUUUUAACGCUAUUUAUACACUAGGACGUUAAUACAUCAUACAAAUUAUGCUCGACGUAUAACCACCCAUCGUGUAUAAAUAGUGUUAAAACACUAUUUUUGCUAUAAAUUAUUUCUUAAAUAAUGUUUUCCAUGAAAAGAAUAUUUUUUAUGCCCCUGGCAUCUACUGAUGUGGGAAGCAUAUAGUGAUUGUCCUGUCCAUCCGUUCGUCCGUACGAGGUUAACCAAAUGGGACCUUUUACGUCUAGCAUCAGUACCCCUUACUAGAAUGACUUGAUACUAAUGCAGAUGUUGAAAAUGAGACAUGAUAAAAUACAGAUUAAGCAAGUCACUGUUUUGUUACAAGCUUAUUUCAAGCCUGAAAGUUCUGUCCAAAAGCAUGCAGUGCUGUUACUUAAAGUUAUAUAUGUAGAUAGAUAAAACUUAAAAUCAAAGAAGUGGACAGAUUAUUUAGUGAAUAAAGUUUUUAUG
Molecule: long non-coding RNA, 1391 nt
Organism: Mercenaria mercenaria
Lineage: Eukaryota; Metazoa; Mollusca; Bivalvia; Venerida; Veneridae
Exons: 6
Source: RefSeq, a predicted model, not a curated record